UUUUAAAUUUAUCGAAUCAUUAAUUACAAAAGAAAUUACACCUCCAAUCAAAACAAUCUCCUUGACAUUAAAUAAAUACGCCAUACGUGAAAUGAACAUACGUUUCCAUAGUCGGUACCCUCUUAAGAAUACUUUUAGGACUGUAACGUUAAAAAGCACAAUUACUUUGAUUUAAAAAAUCUGAAUGUCAUGUUAAUUUUCGAAUUGCGCACCUUCGGACGAAAAUGUUGCAGCACGGUAUCAAGUUACAAUGUGGAGAAUCUUAUAGUGUUACACGUGUAAAAGAUAAUACUUACCCUAUGCACACAAAGUUAACACUGAAAGAGGUGUGAAGAAGAACUGAUUAUUUCACUAGAUGUUACAUUAUGAUUUCAAGUAAUCGAGAAAUCAUUAUUAAUUCAGCAAAAAACGUUAAGUACAUAUAUCAAGUAUAAGUUUUAAGGUCAACUUUUUUCUUCUAAUAUCAUCUUGUUGACUUAACUACGUAUUUAUUCAACAGGAAAUAUCUGAAUAUAAAAAAGUCGCAUAAAAUGUUCUUUAAGUUUCAAGAAAUUACAUUCUAUAUAUGUUUGACUAGUUUUACAUACUUGCAAUACUGUUGGCAACGUGUAUCUCCGGUCUUGCAGACGGUCGGAUAAAAAAGAUCAAAUUGAGAAUAGCGCCCAGAAGAAGCCCGAUUUCGACGCUGACAAGAACGCAAACCAAGAAGAGCAAUUUUAUGAUCUUGAAAUCGAUCAUGAACAUCACGGCGCAUAUCAGCACUGCCGAUAACGUUGCACGUGGGAUGUAAUAAAAA
This is a long non-coding RNA of Pseudomyrmex gracilis, 796 nucleotides long. RefSeq lists it as uncharacterized. The record is from RefSeq and is a predicted model, not a curated record. Lineage: Eukaryota; Metazoa; Arthropoda; Insecta; Hymenoptera; Formicidae. The transcript is spliced from 5 exons.